GACGAACGCUGGCGGCGUGCUUAACACAUGCAAGUCGAACGAUGAACCCGGAGCUUGCUCCGGCGGAUUAGUGGCGAACGGGUGAGUAACACGUGAGUAACCUGCCCUUGACUCUGGGAUAACUGCUAGAAAUGGUAGCUAAUACCGGAUACGACCCUCGGUGGCAUCACCAGGGGGUGGAAAGCAUUUCGGUCAAGGAUGGACUCGCGGCCUAUCAGCUAGUUGGUGAGGUAACGGCUCACAAAGGCGACGACGGGUAGCCGGCCUGAGAGGGUGACCGGCCACACUGGGACUGAGACACGGCCCAGACUCCUACGGGAGGCAGCAGUGGGGAAUAUAGCACAAUGGGCGCAAGCCUGAUGCAGCAACGCCGCGUGAGGGAUGACGGCCUUCGGGUUGUAAACCUCUUUUAGUAGGGAAGAAGCGAAAGUGACGGUACCUGCAGAAAAAGCACCGGCUAACUACGUGCCAGCCGCCGCCGUAA
RNAcentral lists this ribosomal RNA (484 nucleotides) under uncultured bacterium. Its description in RNAcentral is "partial 16S ribosomal RNA". It matches the Rfam family "Bacterial small subunit ribosomal RNA", at positions 28 to 523 of the family's 1533-position model. The record is from RNAcentral.